UAGGGAAUCUUCGGCAAUGGGGGCAACCCUGACCGAGCAACGCCGCGUGAGUGAAGAAGGUUUUCGGAUCGUAAAGCUCUGUUGUAAGAGAAGAACGUGUGUGAGAGUGGAAAGUUCACACAGUGACGGUAACUUACCAGAAAGGGACGGCUAACUACGUGCCAGCAGCCGCGGUAAUACGUAGGUCCCGAGCGUUGUCCGGAUUUAUUGGGCGUAAAGCGAGCGCAGGCGGUUUAAUAAGUCUGAAGUUAAAGGCAGUGGCUUAACCAUUGUUCGCUUUGGAAACUGUUAAACUUGAGUGCAGAAGGGGGGAGUGGAAUUCCAUGUGUAGCGGUGAGAUGCGUUGAUAUAUGGAGGCACACCGGUGGCGAAAGCGGCUCUCUGGUCUGUAACUGACGCUGAGGCUCGAAAGCGUGGGGAGCAAACAGG
This 429-nucleotide ribosomal RNA is filed under the name bacterium. Its description in RNAcentral is "partial 16S ribosomal RNA". It matches the Rfam family "Bacterial small subunit ribosomal RNA", at positions 355 to 776 of the family's 1533-position model. The record is from RNAcentral.